This 649-nucleotide ribosomal RNA is filed under the name Sparassis radicata. Its description in RNAcentral is "eukaryotic LSU rRNA". It matches the Rfam family "Eukaryotic large subunit ribosomal RNA", at positions 1 to 653 of the family's 3401-position model. Lineage: Eukaryota; Fungi; Basidiomycota; Agaricomycetes; Polyporales; Sparassidaceae. The record is from RNAcentral.
GUGACCUCAAAUCAGGUAGGACUACCCGCUGAACUUAAGCAUAUCAAUAAGCGGAGGAAAAGAAACUAACAAGGAUUCCCCUAGUAACUGCGAGUGAAGCGGGAAGAGCUCAAAUUUAAAAUCUGGCGGCGUCCUCGUCGUCCGAGUUGUAAUCUGGAGAAGCGACAUCCGCGCUGGACCGUGUACAAGUCUCUUGGAAAAGAGCGUCGUAGAGGGUGACAAUCCCGUCUUUGACACGGACCGCCAGGGCUUUGUGAUGCGCUCUCGAUGAGUCGAGUUGUUUGGGAAUGCAGCUCAAAAUGGGUGGUAAAUUCCAUCUAAAGCUAAAUAUUGGCGAGAGACCGAUAGCGAACAAGUACCGUGAGGGAAAGAUGAAAAGAACUUUGGAAAGAGAGUUAAACAGUAUGUGAAAUCGCUGAAAGGGAAACGCUUGAAGUCAGUCGCGUCGGUCGGAAUUCAGCCUUGCUCACGCUCGGUGUACUUUCUGACCGACGGGUCAGCAUCGAUUUUGAUGGUCGGAUAAAGGUCGAGGGAAUGUGGCACCUUCGGGUGUGUUAUAGCCUUCGGUCGGGAUACGACGGUCGGGAUCGAGGAAAACUGGGCGCUUUCGCGUUUGGGAUGCUGGCAUAAUGGCUUUAAACGACCCGUC